GAUGAACGCUGGCGGCGUGCCUAAUACAUGCAAGUCGAGCGAACGGACGAGAAGCUUGCUUCUCUGAUGUUAGCGGCGGACGGGUGAGUAACACGUGGAUAACCUACCUAUAAGACUGGGAUAACUUCGGGAAACCGGAGCUAAUACCGGAUAAUAUUUUGAACCGCAUGGUUCAAAAGUGAAAGACGGUCUUGCUGUCACUUAUAGAUGGAUCCGCGCUGCAUUAGCUAGUUGGUAAGGUAACGGCUUACCAAGGCAACGAUGCAUAGCCGACCUGAGAGGGUGAUCGGCCACACUGGAACUGAGACACGGUCCAGACUCCUACGGGAGGCAGCAGUAGGGAAUCUUCCGCAAUGGGCGAAAGCCUGACGGAGCAACGCCGCGUGAGUGAUAAAGGUCUUCGGAUCGUAAAACUCUGUUAUUAGGGAAGAACGUAUGUGUAAGUAACUGUGCACAUCUUGACGGUACCUAAUCAGAAAGCCACGGCUAACUACGUG
This 497-nucleotide ribosomal RNA is filed under the name uncultured bacterium. RNAcentral describes it as "partial 16S ribosomal RNA". It matches the Rfam family "Bacterial small subunit ribosomal RNA", at positions 28 to 507 of the family's 1533-position model. The record is from RNAcentral.